UGCAGAGUCUUUGGGGCCAUACUGUGC
RNAcentral lists this non-coding RNA (27 nucleotides) under Rattus norvegicus (Norway rat). The record is from RNAcentral. Lineage: Eukaryota; Metazoa; Chordata; Mammalia; Rodentia; Muridae.